GACGAACGCUGGCGGCGUGCUUAACACAUGCAAGUCGAACGGAAAGGCCCUGCUUUUGUGGGGUGCUCGAUUGGCGAACGGGUGAGUAACACGUGAGUAACCUGCCCUUGACUGUGGGAGAACUUCAGGAAACUGGGGCUAAUACCGGAGAUGAUCUCCUGCUGCAUGGUGGGGGUUGGAAAGUUUCGGCGGUUGGGGAUGGACUCGCGGCUUAUCAGCUAGUUUGUGGGGUAGUUGCUUACCAAGGUUUUGACGGGUAGCCGGCAUGAGAGGGUGACCGGGCACCAUGGGACUGCGAGAGGCACCAGAAGGCUACCGUCGGCAGCAGUCGGGAAUAUUGCACAAUGGGCGCGAGCCUGAUGUGAAAACGCUCGGUGCGGGAAGACGGCUUACGGGUGAAGAACAGAUGUGGAAUGUGACAUAGAGUGAGUGACGGUACCGAAUAAGAAAGCACCGGCUAACUACGUG
This 468-nucleotide ribosomal RNA is filed under the name uncultured bacterium. RNAcentral describes it as "partial 16S ribosomal RNA". It matches the Rfam family "Bacterial small subunit ribosomal RNA", at positions 28 to 507 of the family's 1533-position model. The record is from RNAcentral.